This 498-nucleotide ribosomal RNA is filed under the name Triticum aestivum (bread wheat). Its description in RNAcentral is "partial small subunit ribosomal RNA". Lineage: Eukaryota; Viridiplantae; Streptophyta; Magnoliopsida; Poales; Poaceae. The record is from RNAcentral.
GCCGCCUCCGGGCAGCCGAAGAAGAGGACGUUCCGCAAGUUCAGCUACCGCGGCUUCGACCUCGACGCGAUCCUCGACAUGUCCGCCGCCGACCUCAUCCAGGUCCUCCCCGCCCGCGCCCGCAGAAGGUUCUACAGGGGGUUCAAGAGGAAGCAAUUGAUGCUCAUCAGGAGGCUGCGCAAGGCCAAGGCGGUAAUGGACCAUGCAUGCUCCUGCCCUGGAACUGCCUGCUAUUUGUACUAUGUACAGAAAAUGGAGGCACUUGCUGGUGAAAAGCCAGGGGUUGUGAAGACUCAUCUGCGCGACACGAUCAUCGUGCCAGAGAUGACAGGCAGCCAGAUUGCGGUGUACAAUGGGAAAAACUUCAACCAGGUUGAGAUCAAGCCCGAGAUGAUUGGCCACUACCUCGCCGAGUUCUCCAUCAGCUACAAGCCCGUCAAGCACGGGAGGCCCGGUAUCGGCGCCACCCACUCCUCGAGGUUCAUUCCUCUCAAGUGA